UAAACAUGGACUUAACAAUUCUCACCUAGCAAGUGUUUCACUCAAUCACUCAAGUGUUUAAGGAGGUCACCCUACUCUCUACUAUUCACAUGUCACAUAAAACAAUAUUGUCAUUCAUCUCAAACAAUCAAAAUCUUCACAUGCAUAUGUCAUUACAAGGACUUUAUCCAAGGCUUGUAUUGUGGCUGGGCUAUCAAGAAAAAUGGUUUUUCUGGAAUACAAAAUCCUUGAGUUAAGAGAGUUUAAAUCAUCAUUCAUAGUUCAAGCACACUCUUUUUUUAACCAAUCUCACUCAUUCCCAACUUUUCCCUUUUUCAUUUUACAUUGAGUUCUUUUUACAUGCAUAAACUCUUUUCUUCUUUUCUUUUCUUUUCAGAUGCAUUUUUCAUUUUCAUCUUUUGAACUCAAUGCUUUUCUUUUUCUUUUGCCUUUCACUUUCCCCAUUCAACCCCAAACUUGAACCUUUUCAACUCACAUAAUUAUUCUCAACCCUAACUCAAGGUAAAUNAAUUCAAACAAGGGUUUUUAUACUGUUUAAGGUCAAGGUUCAAAAAGG
This 556-nucleotide long non-coding RNA is filed under the name Vigna radiata. Its description in RNAcentral is "long non-coding RNA (VRAD_LNC012266)". Lineage: Eukaryota; Viridiplantae; Streptophyta; Magnoliopsida; Fabales; Fabaceae. The record is from RNAcentral.